CGGCGGACGGGUGAGUAACGCGUGGGUAACCUACCCUGUACACACGGAUAACAUACCGAAAGGUAUGCUAAUACGGGAUAAUAUAUUUGAGAGGCAUCUCUUGAAUAUCAAAGGUGAGCCAGUACAGGAUGGACCCGCGUCUGAUUAACUAGUUGGUAAGGUAACGGCUUACCAAGGCGACGAUCAGUAGCCGACCUGAGAGGGUGAUCGGCCACAUUGGAACUGAGACACGGUCCAA
This 238-nucleotide ribosomal RNA is filed under the name uncultured bacterium. RNAcentral describes it as "partial 16S ribosomal RNA". It matches the Rfam family "Bacterial small subunit ribosomal RNA", at positions 96 to 334 of the family's 1533-position model. The record is from RNAcentral.